UACGGAGGGUGCAAGCGUUAUCCGGAUUCACUGGGUUUAAAGGGUGCGUAGGUGGGCAGUUAAGUCAGCGGUGAAAUCUCCGGGCUCAACCCGGAAACUGCCAUUGAUACUAUCUGUCUUGAAUAUCGUGGAGGUAAGCGGAAUAUGUCAUGUAGCGGUGAAAUGCUUAGAUAUGACAUAGAACACCAAUUGCGAAGGCAGCUUACUACCCGAAUAUUGACACUGAGGCACGAAAGCGUGGGGAUCAAACAGG
This 253-nucleotide ribosomal RNA is filed under the name uncultured bacterium. Its description in RNAcentral is "partial 16S ribosomal RNA". It matches the Rfam family "Bacterial small subunit ribosomal RNA", at positions 524 to 776 of the family's 1533-position model. The record is from RNAcentral.